Podarcis lilfordi (Lilford's wall lizard) is the source of this 74-nucleotide non-coding RNA. The record is from the annotation of a GenBank genome assembly. Lineage: Eukaryota; Metazoa; Chordata; Lepidosauria; Squamata; Lacertidae.
UGCAGCAUAGCUCAGUCAGUAGAGCAUGAGACUCUUAAUCUCAGGGUUGCAGGUUCAAACUACACUUUGGGCAA